AUAUAUAUAUAUACACAAUGGAAUACUACUCAGCCAUAAAAAAAGAACAAAGUAAUGCUAUUUGCAGCAACAUGGAUGGGACUAGAGACUCUCAUACAAUGGAAUACUACUCGGCCAUAAAAAAGAACAAAGUAAUGCCAUUUGCAGCAACAUGGAUGGGACUAGAGACUCUCAUACUAAGUGAAAUAAGUCAGAAAGACAAAGAUAGAUUCCAUAUGAUUUCACUUAUAUCUGGAAUCUAAUAUACAGCACAAAUGAACCUAUCUAUAGGAAAGAAACAAACUCAUGGACAUGGAGAACAGACUUGUGGUUGCUGAGGGGGAGAGGGAGGGGUGGGAUGGACUGGAAUUUUGUGUUAGUAGAAGCAAACUAUAGCAUUUGGAAUGGAUAAGUGAUAAGAUCCUGCCAUAUAGCACAGGGAACUAUAUCUAGUCACUUGUGAUGGAACAUGAUGGAGGAUCAUGUGAGAAAAAGAAUGUGUAUACACAUAUGUGUGUGUAUAACUAGGUCACUUUACUGUACAGUAGAAAUUGACAGAACAUUAUAAAUCAACUAUACUAAGAAGUAAAUUAAUUUUAAUUUUUAAAGAGUAUUUAUGAAAAUAACUAUUUUCAUCAAUCAAGGUCUGGGGCUAAUUCUAGAAAGAUGAUAUGAUUCUAUAGGUGGAAUUCUUGCCUCCCACACCCUUGAACCACCCUCUCUUGUCUGGGUUCCCCUAUCAGCUGGCCUGAAUGAGGACCUGGUAAGAGGGAAUUACAGGAAGCAGAUGUGGUGCCCAACUUAUGAAAAAGAACAUAAAGUAACAAAUAAAAAUUAUGUAUAAAUGUGCGGACUUAUUUAUUUAGUCUUUUGUCCUUUUGGGUAUGUACCAGCAGCAUAUGGAGGUUCCCAGGCUAGGGGUCGAAUUGGAACUACAGCUGCAGGCCUACACCACAGCCACGGCAAUGCCAGAUCCAGAUCCAAGCCCCAUCUGCAACCUAUACCACAGAUGCAGCUCGGAUCCCGCGUUGCUGUGGCUCUGGCGUAGGCUGGCGGCUACAGCUCCGAUUGGACCCCUAGCCUGGGAACCUCCAUAUGCCGCGGGAGCGGCCCAAGAAAGAGCAACAACAACAACAACAACAAAGACAAAAGACAAAAUAAUAAUAAUAAUAAUAAUAAUUUCCUUAAAUCGGCCCGCAAAUUUACAACAGUGA
Molecule: long non-coding RNA, 1193 nt
Filed under: Sus scrofa (pig)
Lineage: Eukaryota; Metazoa; Chordata; Mammalia; Artiodactyla; Suidae
Description: lncRNA (ENSSSCG00030036217.1)
Source: RNAcentral